This 485-nucleotide ribosomal RNA is filed under the name uncultured bacterium. RNAcentral's name for it is "partial 16S ribosomal RNA". It matches the Rfam family "Bacterial small subunit ribosomal RNA", at positions 28 to 523 of the family's 1533-position model. The record is from RNAcentral.
GAUGAACGCUGGCGGCGUGCUUAACACAUGCAAGUCGAACGGUGAACACGGAGCUUGCUCUGUGGGAUCAGUGGCGAACGGGUGAGUAACACGUGAGCAACCUGCCCCUGACUCUGGGAUAAGCGCUGGAAACGGCGUCUAAUACUGGAUACGAGUAGCGGCCGCAUAGUCAGUUACUGGAAAGAUUUUUUGGUUGGGGAUGGGCUCGCGGCCUAUCAGCUUGUUGGUGAGGUAAUGGCUCACCAAGGCGUCGACGGGUAGCCGGCCUGAGCGGGGAACCGGCCACACUGGGACUGGGACACGGCCCAGACUCCUACGGGGGGCAGCAGUGGGGAAUAUUGCACAAUGGGCGAAAGCCUGAUGCAGCAACGCCGUGUGAGGGAUGACGGCCUUCGGGUUGUAAACCUCUUUUAGCAGGGAAGAAGCGAAAGUGACGGUACCUGCAGAAAAAGCGCCGGCUAACUACGUGCCAGCCGCCGCCGUAA